UACCAGACUCCUACGGGAGGCAGCAGUGAGGAAUAUUGGUCAAUGGGCGCGAGCCUGAACCAGCCAAGUCGCGUGAGGGAUGACGGUCCUACGGAUUGUAAACCUCUUUUGCCGGGGAGCAAGCGUGCGUUCGUGAACGCGCGUCGAGAGUACCCGGAGAAAAAGCAUCGGCUAACUCCGUGCCAGCAGCCGCGGUAAUACGGAGGAUGCGAGCGUUAUCCGGAUUUAUUGGGUUUAAAGGGUGCGUAGGCGGGCUUUUAAGUCAGCGGUAAAAAUUCGGGGCUCAACCCCGUCCGGCCGUUGAAACUGGGGGCCUUGAGUGGGCGAGAAGAAGGCGGAAUGCGUGGUGUAGCGGUGAAAUGCAUAGAUAUCACGCAGAACUCCGAUUGCGAAGGCAGCAUACCGGCGCGCAACUGACGCUCAUGCACGAAAGCGUGGGUAUCGAACAGGAUUAGAUACCCUUGUA
Molecule: ribosomal RNA, 466 nt
Filed under: uncultured bacterium
Lineage: Bacteria
Description: bacterial SSU rRNA
Rfam family: Bacterial small subunit ribosomal RNA
Source: RNAcentral